UUUUGACGAGAGACGGAACCCUAGUUCACAGACGUGAACUAAUGCCCAGAGGAGUGUUCAGAGGGACGAUGACCUGCUACGUGUGGCGUGUUGGCUCGGUGCUUCCUUUGGUGAUCCCGUAGACGGUCUUCCUCGCGAGAGAAACCUCCGUAGAGCAAGCAGAUGCUCCCGUCUCCGCAGCUGACGUUUCAUGUGCGCUAUGAGGGCAUUCCUGUGUGCAAAUCUCGCGGAACAUGCUUCGCAAACGCAAGAGUUCUCUUCUGUGUCAGUGCUCUGGCGGACCUCAGGGUGGGCCGUCUCCACGCCGGAGCGAUCGUCGAACGGACACUCCGACGUCAUUUCCUUGGCCUCGUGUCGCUUCCUGGACUUGUCCUCCAAGUCCGGGGAGACCCUCGGGAAGAGUUCGGGAAAACGUUCGGACGAAGAACGUUCCCGCUUUUCUUUUUCGCCUGUGACACAAAGAAGAUGCAGUUUUUGAAGCUUUUUGGCUGUAUCCUCUCACCAGGUGUCAUUGGUGAAAUAAAUUAUUAUUAUUAUUAUUAA
Molecule: long non-coding RNA, 543 nt
Organism: Ornithodoros turicata
Lineage: Eukaryota; Metazoa; Arthropoda; Arachnida; Ixodida; Argasidae
Exons: 2
Source: RefSeq, a predicted model, not a curated record